GACGAACGCUGGCGGCGUGCUUAACACAUGCAAGUCGAACGGAAAGGCCCUGCUUUUGUGGGGUGCUCGAGUGGCGAACGGGUGAGUAACACGUGAGUAACCUGCCCUUGACUUUGGGAUAACUUCAGGAAACUGGGGCUAAUACCGGAUAGGAGCUCCUGCUGCAUGGUGGGGGUUGGAAAGUUUCGGCGGUUGGGGAUGGACUCGCGGCUUAUCAGAUUGUUGGUGGGGUAGUGGCUUACCAAGGCUUUGACGGGUAGCCGGGCUGAGAGGGUGAGCGGCCACAUUGGGACUGAGAUACGGCACAGACUCGUACGGGAGGCAGCAGUGGGGAAGAUUGCACAAUGGGCGGAAGCCUGAUGCAGCAACGCCGCGUGCGGGAUGACGGCCUGCGGGUUGUAAACCGCUUUCGCCUGUGACGAAGCGUGAGUGACGGUAAUGGGUAAAGAAGCACCGGCUAACUACGUG
RNAcentral lists this ribosomal RNA (468 nucleotides) under uncultured bacterium. Its description in RNAcentral is "partial 16S ribosomal RNA". It matches the Rfam family "Bacterial small subunit ribosomal RNA", at positions 28 to 507 of the family's 1533-position model. The record is from RNAcentral.